RNAcentral lists this ribosomal RNA (501 nucleotides) under uncultured bacterium. RNAcentral describes it as "bacterial SSU rRNA". It matches the Rfam family "Bacterial small subunit ribosomal RNA", at positions 8 to 526 of the family's 1533-position model. The record is from RNAcentral.
AGAGUUUGAUCAUGGCUCAGGACAAACGCUGGCGGCGUGCAUAAAACAUGCAAGUCGGACGAGCCAAUCCCCGCAAGGGGAAAGGCUAGUGGCGAACGGCUGAGUAACACGUAGGUGACCUGCCCUGAAGUGGGGGAUAACGACUCGAAAGAGUCGCUAAUACCGCAUGUGACCACCGAUCCGUUUUCGGUGCUCAAAGUCGUAAGACGCUUUAGGAGGGGCCUGCGGCGGAUUAGCUAGUUGGUGAGGUAAUGGCCCACCAAGGCUUCGAUCCGUAGCUGGUCUGAGAGGAUGGCCAGCCAGACUGGGACUGAGACACGGCCCAGACUCCUACGGGAGGCAGCAGUUAGGAAUUUUGCGCAAUGGGGGAAACCCUGACGCAGCCACGCCGCGUGCGGGAUGAAGGCCUUCGGGUCGUAAACCGCCUUUCUCGAGGAAGACACCCGACGGUACUCGAGGCAUAAGCAAUGGCUAACUACGUGCCAGCCGCCGCGGUAAUAC